UGGCUCAGAACGAACGCUGGCGGCGUGCUUAACACAUGCAAGUCGAGGGCGUGGGGUAACCCACGACCGGCGAACGGGUGCGUAACACGUGAGCGACCUGCCUCCCCGCGGGGGAUAGCCGGCCCAACGGCCGGGUAAUACCGCAUACGCUGUUCGGGGUGCAUACCCUGGAUCGGAAAGCAGCAAUGCGCCGGAGAGGUGCCUCGCGGCCUAUCAGCUAGUUGGUGAGGUAACGGCUCACCAAGGCGACGGCGAAUAGCUGGCCUGAGAGGAUGGCCAGCCACAUUGGGACUUUUUCUCGGCCCANAGACCUACGGGAGGCA
Molecule: ribosomal RNA, 323 nt
Filed under: uncultured bacterium
Lineage: Bacteria
Description: bacterial SSU rRNA
Rfam family: Bacterial small subunit ribosomal RNA
Source: RNAcentral